This 460-nucleotide ribosomal RNA is filed under the name uncultured bacterium. Its description in RNAcentral is "partial 16S ribosomal RNA". It matches the Rfam family "Bacterial small subunit ribosomal RNA", at positions 338 to 795 of the family's 1533-position model. The record is from RNAcentral.
CCUACGGGAGGCAGCAGUGAGGAAUAUUGGUCAAUGGGCGGAAGCCUGAACCAGCCAAGUCGCGUGAGGGAUUAAGGCCCUGCGGGACGUAAACCUCUUUUGCCGGGGAGCAGAGGUCCGGACGUGUCCGGGCCGGGAGAGUACCCGGAGAAAAAGCAUCGGCUAACUCCGUGCCAGCAGCCGCGGUAAUACGGAGGAUGCGAGCGUUAUCCGGAUUUAUUGGGUUUAAAGGGUGCGUAGGCGGGCAUUUAAGCCGGCGGUCAAAUGUCGGGGCUCAACCCCGGCCUGCCGUCGGAACUGGGUGCCUUGAGUGGGCGAGAAGUAGGCGGAAUGCGUGGUGUAGCGGUGAAAUGCAGAGAGAUCACGCAGAACCCCGAUGGCGAAGGCAGCAUACCGGCGCCCUACUGACGCUGAGGCACGAAAGUGCGGGUAUCGAACAGGAUUAGAUACCCCUGUAGUC